UUUGCUUUUAUUUGUAUGCCACUGUCAUGCCUUAGCUUCCAAGGGAAGAGAUCUUUCCUUUCCUUGUUAACCUCCCUCAAGGCCCAGUAGAGGGCACUAUACACAUGAGGACUGCUUGUGAGGAUGCCGUUGGCUUGAUGGUAUAUCCUCAAAGACAAUUCUCUGAGCUGUUUUUCUCUUGCCUGAGUUUUCCAUGCUCAGGCCACAUCAGCUUAAAAUAAAUGCUGCUGGACAAUAAUAAUGGAGACUUCAUCCCUGCCACACUGCAUAUUAAAUGGCUCAACUGAGAGGCUUGUCAGCACACUUAUCACUCAAUCAUGUUGGAGAAAUGGAAAAACCUUUGAAUCCACACUUUGGACUAAAGAUUUUUUUUUGCCUUUUCUAGGGCUGCUCCCACGGCAUAUGGAGGUUCCCAGGCUAGGGGAGCAGACUCAGAGCUGCAGCUGCUGGCCUACACCAUAGCCACAGCAAUACCAGAUCCAAGCUGAGUCUGUGACCUAUGAGCAGCUCACAGUAAAGCUGGAUCCUUUAACCCAGUGAGUGAGGCCAGGGAUCGAACCUGCAUCCUCAUGGAUACUAAUGGGUUCUUAACCUGCUGAGUGCCAGUGGGAACUUUGGGACUGCCUUUCUUUAAUAAAACCACCUAGCUCACUUAGUGUCUAGCAUGCUGUUCGGCAAGGCUGAUGGUUAGGUGGCAUCACAAUUCAUUGCCUGGUUUAAAUCAAGAGAGAGCAAGUCAGUAACAUCCUGAGGAGCUAAAAACUUAUUGGAAAGUUUCUGAUUAAAGAGAAAGAAUAAGUUAGAUACUGAAAACAACAUUCCUUCUCUCUCUCUCUCUUUUUUUUUGGCUGUACCUGCAGCAUGUGGAAGUUCCUGGGCCAAGGAUCAAAUCUGUGCCACAGCAGUGACAUUGCUGGAUCCUUAACCAUCUGAGCCACCAGGGAACUCCCACAGCAUUCCUUCUCUAGUUUAGAAGUACUCCCCCCUCUUUAGGCGAUGGAAAUUUCUCUUGCAUGUCUAUUUCUCUGGACCUUGUUUCUCUUUCUUGAUGCAUACUCUCACAUUUGGGAAAAUACCAUGAUAAAUUCUCCUAAUCAAACCUGGGCAAAUUUCAAUCUUUACACGUGGUAGGUUUGGUCUGAAUGUGAGAGGAGACAAUUGUGAGUUUAUUUCUCCUUGGUAAUGUUUCUUUUGUAUAUUAUGUUCAUAAGUAGUUUUAAACUUCUUUCAGUAGCAGGAUUUCAGCAAUGGUUAGGACAUCAUGAAGAAAGAAGUGACUCUGCCUCCUGCUGGCCACAAGCAGAAAGGGGUGAGUUCCUUUUGGUUUAUUACUAGAACUCCCAUCUGUCCUUCACAGACUUGGGAUCUUGUGAAGUGAUGGAAAACUGAAUGGGAAAAGAGUGGGCUUCCUUUUUUGUUUAGCCUCAACUAAGCUUUAGGUGUCAAUAAACCAUUUAGAUCAAAUACCUCAAAUAUCUCAUUUUGUGAGUCAAAACCUGAGAUCGCUCCAUCUUCUGCAUUAGCUUUAGAAACAACAGCAUGGAUGAAAGUCAGAGAAAGUCCUGGUCUAUAUGCCAACACCCCUGCUCCCUUUCCCCUAAAUGAUGGAAAUGGGCAACCCAGACAUCCCACAUGAAGGGCCCCUGUCCCUUAGAAACUCAGAGACCCACACCAGCUUCUCCCCCGAAAGGUGUCUUCAGUCUUAUUUAUUUUCUUCCCUUUUCCCAAACCCCAAUAAAACACACCAACUGCUUCAGAGUAUUUCUGGGUUGGGUUUUUUCGUGGGUCUUCUUUUUGUUUGUUUGUUUUUUAUUUCACAUACUGAAAAAGUCCCCUGGGCUCUGUGGGGCU
RNAcentral lists this long non-coding RNA (1851 nucleotides) under Sus scrofa (pig). RNAcentral describes it as "lncRNA (ENSSSCG00005013075.1)". Lineage: Eukaryota; Metazoa; Chordata; Mammalia; Artiodactyla; Suidae. The record is from RNAcentral.